This 55-nucleotide ribosomal RNA is filed under the name Flavobacteriia bacterium. RNAcentral's name for it is "partial 23S ribosomal RNA". The record is from RNAcentral. Lineage: Bacteria; Pseudomonadati; Bacteroidota; Flavobacteriia.
UGUAAAGGCAGUAAUGUCAUAGCCGAGUAGUACUAAUUACCCGUGGAUUUUUCAU